This 253-nucleotide ribosomal RNA is filed under the name uncultured bacterium. Its description in RNAcentral is "partial 16S ribosomal RNA". It matches the Rfam family "Bacterial small subunit ribosomal RNA", at positions 524 to 776 of the family's 1533-position model. The record is from RNAcentral.
UACAGAGGGGGCAAGCGUUGUUCGGAAUUACUGGGCGUAAAGGGCGCGUAGGCGGCCUUCUAAGUCGAACGUGAAAUCCCUGGGCUCAACCCAGGAACUGCGUCCGAUACUGGAAGGCUUGAAUCCGGGAGAGGGAUGCGGAAUUCCAGGUGUAGCGGUGAAAUGCGUAGAUAUCUGGAGGAACACCGGUGGCGAAAGCGGCGCUCUGGGCCUAAACUGACGCUGAGGGGCGAAAGCGUGGGGAGCGAACGGG